UCGCCGUUGAGAAGCCGUCGCCACCAAAUCCGCUGCUGUCGAAGCUUAUGGCCGAGCCUCUGCCGCUGGAUCUCCACACUGCUGCUGCUGCCGCCGAAAACUGCCACUGAAGCCUGUGUCGUUUGGAACUUAUCGCGAGUUACCGCCGCUGGAGCCACCACCGGAGCUACUGCCGUUCAGUUCAGCUGUUCUUCCUUCUUACAAUAGGGUCGCCCUCUGUAUGUUGCAUAUCGCUUUUAAGUUGCUGUGAUUGCUGCGAAAGUGAUUAUGGAUUGAGGUUUCGGUUGCCAUCGGUUUCGGGCUGAGAGAAAAGAGUUCCGUUGACGCGUUUGGUUUAUGAUUUUGACUUGUCGAGGUAGGGACUUUUUAUAAAAACUAAUUUACUUUAAAUUGGAGAUUUUUUAUUGGUUUGGUUUUGAAAUGAUUUUAAUACUUGAAAGUCUAAAUUUUGUUUUAUUGGAAAUUGAUUUGGUUUUGAACCCGUUAAAAAGGGUUGAUGAUUGGUUUGGUUGGGAUCCGAAAAGGGUGGCAAAGUCCAAGUUUUAGGGGAGGUGUUGCCGAAUUUUCUAUAAAAUCUGAAACUUUGU
Arachis ipaensis is the source of this 587-nucleotide non-coding RNA. Lineage: Eukaryota; Viridiplantae; Streptophyta; Magnoliopsida; Fabales; Fabaceae. The record is from RefSeq and is a predicted model, not a curated record.